Long non-coding RNA from Homo sapiens (human), 664 nucleotides. The record is from Ensembl. NCBI's taxonomy places the organism in Eukaryota, Metazoa, Chordata, Mammalia, Primates, Hominidae.
GGCCCAAAGCCUUCCGGGAGUCGUAGUCCUUCCGCCCGCUCCUCGUUUCUUUGGAGGUUGGCCCUUCCAGCUCCAGUUCUGCCCAGGUCACAACGCCGACGACAUGGUGGACACCGUGCUCAUGAACUUCCUGCGGGGCGGCUGGCCCGGGGCGGGGGCCUGGGCUCUCCGGGCUAGGGGGGUGCCCUUCCGCGCUGCCGCCCGCUGCAGUUCGCCUCGCAGGAGGUGGUGCCGUACGGGCACUUCCGCCGCCUCGACUACUUCUCAGAAGAGAGGAGCGCCCGGGACCUGCUCAAGCGCCUGGAGGCGCCGCGGCCGUCGGCGGUGCUGGACCUGGUGCACUCGGCCGAACGCCUGGCGCUGGCCUCGGCCGCGCGGCCCCCGCGCCCCGGCGCCUGCCCCCGCUGUGGGGCGCUGGCCAGCCGCGCGCUCUGCCAGGCCUGCUCCCUCCUGGACGGCCUGAACCGCGGUCGGCCCCGCCUGGCCAUCGGCAAGGGCCGCCGGGGGCUGGACGAGGAGGCGACGCCGGGGACGCCCGGGGAUCCGGCCCGGGCCCCCACUUCCGAGACCGUCCCCACCUUCUAGCGACUCCGGGCCUCCCGCCGGGAUCCGACGCGCCCGGGUGAGGUCUGCCUGUAAAUGACACUGUGAAUAAACCCGUUAC